CGGCUUAANUCNNNGCCNNGCNGNGNGGUUAAUNCNGNAGGGNUGNCNAGCGUUAAUNGGAAUUACUNGGGNCGUAAAGCGCAUUGCAGUGGUUUGUUAAGUCAGAUGUGAAGCCCGGGGCUCAACCCUNGGAAUUGCAUUUGAAACUGACAAACUUAGAGUACUGUAGAGGGGGGGUAGAAAUUUCAGGUGUAGCGGUGAAAUGCGUAGAGAUNUGAAGGAAUACNGGUGGCGAAGGCGGCCCCCUGGACAGAUACUGACACUCAGAUGCGAAAGCGUGGGGAGCAAACAGGAUUAGAUACCCUGGUAGUCCACGCCCGUAAAACGAUGUCUACUUGGAGGUUGUGGCCUUGAGCCGUGGCUUUCGGAGCUAACGCGUUAAGUAGACCGCCUGGGGAGUACGGUCGCAAGAUUAAAACUCAAAUGAAUUGACGGGGGCCCGCACAAGCGGUGGAGCAUGUGGUUUAAUUCGAUGCAACGCGAAGAACCUUACCUACUCUUGACAUCUACAGAAGCCAGCGGAGACGCAGGUGUGCCUUCGGGAACUGUAAGACAGGUGCUGCAUGGCUGUCGUCAGCUCGUGUUGUGAAAUGUUGGGUUAAGUCCCGCAACGAGCGCAAUCCUUAUCCUUGUUUGCCAGCACUUCGGGUGGGAACUCCAGGGAGACUGCCGGUGAUAAACCGGAGGAAGGUGGGGACGACGUCAAGUCAUCAUGGCCCUUACGAGUAGGGCUACACACGUGCUACAAUGGCGCAUACAGAGGGCGGCCAACUUGCGAAAGUGAGCGAAUCCCAAAAAGUGCGUCGUAGUCCGGAUUGGAGUCUGCAACUCGACUCCAUGAAGUCGGAAUCGCUAGUAAUCGUGGAUCAGAAUGCCACGGUGAAUACGUUCCCGGGCCUUGUACACACCGCCCGUCACACCAUGGGAGUGGGCUGCAAAAGAAGUGGGUAGUUUAACCUUCGGGAGGACGCUCACCACUUUGUGGUUCAUGACUGGGGUGAAGUCGUAACAANNAACCG
RNAcentral lists this ribosomal RNA (1019 nucleotides) under uncultured bacterium. RNAcentral describes it as "partial 16S ribosomal RNA". It matches the Rfam family "Bacterial small subunit ribosomal RNA", at positions 494 to 1501 of the family's 1533-position model. The record is from RNAcentral.